GACGAACGCUGGCGGCGUGCCUGACACAUGCAAGUCGGACGGUUCUUGCACCUUCAAGCUUGCUUGCUAGUGCAAGGAUAGUGGCGGACGGGUGAGUAACGCGUGAACAUCUACCCAUUGGAGGGGGACAACCCGUCGAAAGGCGGGCUAAUACCGCGUAAGCCGCGAGGUGAGAGGCUGCCUAUUGGUGGCCGCCGAUGGAUGGGUUCGCGUCCUAUCAGCUGGUUGGUGGGGUAACGGCCUACCAAGGCGAAGACGGGUAGCCGGUCUGAGAGGAUGGCCGGCCACACUGGAACUGAGACACGGUCCAGACUCCUACGGGAGGCAGCAGUGGGGAAUAUUGGGCAAUGGGGGUAACCCUGACCCAGCGACGCCGCGUGAGGGACGAAGGUUUUCGGAUCGUAAACCUCUGUUGUACGGGAAGAAGGAAUUGACGGUACCGUACGAGAAAGCCCCGGCAAACUACGUGCCAGCAGCCGCGGUAAACGUAGCGUG
RNAcentral lists this ribosomal RNA (495 nucleotides) under uncultured bacterium. Its description in RNAcentral is "bacterial SSU rRNA". It matches the Rfam family "Bacterial small subunit ribosomal RNA", at positions 28 to 534 of the family's 1533-position model. The record is from RNAcentral.